ACGGGGAGCAGCAGGCGCGAAAACUCUACAAUGCAGGCAACUGCGAUAGGGGAACAUCGAGUGAUCCUCAUAUUGGGGGUCUGUCCACCCGCCUAAAAAGCGGGUGUUAGCAAGGGCCGGGCAAGACCGGUGCCAGCCGCCGCGGUAAUACCGGCGGCUCGAGUGGUGGCCGAUAUUAUUGAGUCUAAAGGGUCCGUAGCCGGCUUUGCAAGUCUCUCGGGAAAUCCAGCGGCUUAACCGUUGGUCGUCCGGGGGGUACUACAUUGCUUGGGACUGGGAGAGGUAGGAGGUACUCAGGGGGUAGGAGUGAAAUCCUGUAAUCCUUUGGGGACCACCGGUGGCGAAGGCGUCCUACCAGAACAGGUCCGACGGUGAGGGACGAAAGCUAGGGGCACGAACCGGAUUAGAUACCCGGGUAGUCCUAGCCGUAAACGAUGCUCGCUAGGUGUCACAACAGUCGUGAACUGUUGUGGUGCCGUAGGGAAGCCGUGAAGCGAGCCACUUGGGAAGUACGACCGCAAGGUUGAAACUUAAAGGAAUUGGCGGGGGAGCGC
RNAcentral lists this ribosomal RNA (554 nucleotides) under uncultured archaeon. Its description in RNAcentral is "bacterial SSU rRNA". It matches the Rfam family "Archaeal small subunit ribosomal RNA", at positions 325 to 879 of the family's 1478-position model. The record is from RNAcentral.